This 253-nucleotide ribosomal RNA is filed under the name uncultured bacterium. Its description in RNAcentral is "partial 16S ribosomal RNA". It matches the Rfam family "Bacterial small subunit ribosomal RNA", at positions 524 to 776 of the family's 1533-position model. The record is from RNAcentral.
UACAGAGGGGGCAAGCGUUGUUCGGAAUUACUGGGCGUAAAGGGCGCGUAGGCGGCCUGCUAAGUCGAACGUGAAAUCCCUGGGCUCAACCCAGGAACUGCGUCCGAUACUGGUUGGCUUGAAUCCGGGAGAGGGAUGUGGAAUUCCAGGUGUAGCGGCGAAAUGCGUAGAUAUCUGGAGGAACACCGGUGGCGAAGGCGACAUCCUGGACCGGUAUUGACGCUGAGGCGCGAAAGCCAGGGGAGCAAACGGG